CUCGCGGCCCUCGCCAGCCAGAAGCUUCUCCUUCACCAUAGCGAGCGUGAGCAGAACCAUAACCGCCAGAUAAGAAAUGAACUUCGUGCUUCCCGGUAAGAAAAUCAAACCAGACUCCGCAGGGCUGGCAUGGAUUCUGGUCCUGGCCUCGUUCCUUUUUUACCAUAAAACUGGGCAUCGCACCACCUGGUUCUAUCAAAUCACCGGCGUGACCGCGUGAGUUGAAGUCAGAGAAAGAGAGAGAGCUGUAAGCGGCUGCCACCAUCGCCAAAGACAACCCCUGCUGCGCCGCCGGUUCGACCUCGGUUAUCGGCCCUGGUGGUACACCAGGAGGGCGGGUGCCUAAGACGUCAAGAGCAACGGCGUACCGCCUCGCUAUUGCCGAUCGGAGAUGGAUGGUCGUCCGUCGUCGAAGGCACCCAUUUGUGUUCGGAAAGUCGAAGCGACCUAGGAUGAUCACUGGUGUGUAGCGAAUCUGAAGGCUUUUUCCUGGAGCACGAAGAUGUCCGGACUCGAGUAGGGUCGAUCUUAGCUAGCGGCCGUGGAUCCGCCUCCUUCCGUGGACCGGCCCCACCAUAACGCUUUCGCUGGUCUCCGUCAUCGCGCAUGGGCGACGCCAUCACUAGCGGCCAGGGGUGGGAGACGGCCCCUACGCCGUCAAAUCGGGGAUGUGUGGUCCUGAUUAAAAGCUGGAUACCCUUUCGUGCAUUCAAUCCGGGCCAAUGGAUCAGAUCGAGCGGUUUCGAUUGGAUCACACCUCAUUAAAUCGUGGGCAUGGAUUGUGGAUCCCGUGGCUAUAAAAGUGUAUCACUUCAUAAUCUAUCUGUAGCCGUCAAAUCGAGAUCUAAGGGAUCUCUUAUGCC
This is a long non-coding RNA of Zea mays, 863 nucleotides long. RefSeq lists it as uncharacterized. Lineage: Eukaryota; Viridiplantae; Streptophyta; Magnoliopsida; Poales; Poaceae. The transcript has 2 exons. The record is from RefSeq and is a predicted model, not a curated record.